Molecule: ribosomal RNA, 440 nt
Filed under: uncultured bacterium
Lineage: Bacteria
Description: partial 16S ribosomal RNA
Rfam family: Bacterial small subunit ribosomal RNA
Source: RNAcentral
CUACGGGGCGCACCAGUGAGGAAUAUUGCACAAUGGGGGGAACCCUGAUGCAGCAACGCCGCGUGGAGGAUGACGCAUUUCGGUGUGUAAACUCCUUUUAUAUGUCAAGAAAAUGACGGUAGCAUAUGAAUAAGCACCGGCUAUACUCCGUGCCAGCAGCCGCGGUAAUACGGAGGGUGCAAGCGUUACUCGGAAUCACUGGGCGUAAAGGACGCGUAGGCGGGUUGGAAAGUCAGGUGUGAAAUCCUACAGCUUAACUGUAGAACUGCACUUGAAACUUCUAAUCUAGAGUAUGGGAGGGGGAGAUGGAAUUAGUGGUGUAGGGGUAAAAGCCGUAGAUAUCACUAGGAAUACCUAAAGCGAAGGCGAUCUCCUGGAACAUUACUGACGCUAAGGCGUGAAAGCGUGGGGAGCAAACAGGAUUAGAUACCCCAGUAGUC